Felis catus (domestic cat) is the source of this 2199-nucleotide long non-coding RNA. RefSeq lists it as uncharacterized. The transcript is spliced from 3 exons. NCBI's taxonomy places the organism in Eukaryota, Metazoa, Chordata, Mammalia, Carnivora, Felidae. The record is from RefSeq and is a predicted model, not a curated record.
AACAAGAGUUUUAUUCUAUGUGUAAUGAGUAGGAGAGGUUUUAAGCAGAAGAGUACAUAAUCUGACUUUUGGUUUAAAAGUCUCAACCUUGGUGGAUAUGGAUUUAACAAGCUACCGGGGUCAGGAAAGAGGACAGAAUUCUGAGUUAAGAAGUAACUGUAGUAAUCUAGGAAAGAGAUCAGGAAUAUUUAAACUAAGGAGGAAGUGAAUCCACCAGCAACAGUGCCUGCUGGCAGGCAUUAUGGCUUAAUUCUCCCAGGAAACCCUGGCUGAGAACGUCUACGGGAUCAAGUCUAAUCUCAAAAUGAAACAGAAGAUCAUUUACAUGCCAUAGACGUCUCCACCUUAUUUCUUGAGACGUCUCUUCCCUUCUUCCUAUAUCAAGCUACCUACAAUUUCCUUAAUGCCGAGCCUAUUUCCAACUUCUUUGUUUGGAAUUCCCUUGGAGUCUCUGUGGUAGUAUCUACUAAUCUUUAUCAAAGUGGAAGCAUGAUCUUAUCCAUGAAACACUUCCUCCUAUUCCCUAAUGCAGAACCGAGGUCUUCCUUCUUGGUAGGUAUAUGAUAGCGAUCUUCAGCCAUCUGAUGGGAAGUCAUGUAGAAGACAGAACAAACAUGAUCUCAGCUAUAUGGAAGGCCACACAGGACCAGAAUGUUAUAGUCCUAAGUUUGUCAAGUAAUGAAUUUGUCUUCAACUGUCACUGGGUUUAGCAUGUCAAUCUGGACAACCAGGUCAUUUCCAGGACACUGGUUUCUGAAAAUACAGAUUUGGGACAGUUACAAAUAUUUCACUUGACCCCAAAGGCCCCAAAUGAGCUGGUGGACUAUUAAUUGCUUCAAGGUUAACUAAAGCUUCAUCUCUUUGGGGAAAAAGUUUAUGUGUAACACCAGAGGAUGCAUUAUUUUAUGAAAAGAAAAUAUUCCACAAAAAUAAUCUGCUCUUUCACAGUUAAAAUAAUCCUUCCACACUGGUUCCAAAAGAUGACCAAAAAACACUGAUAGAUUAAUAACCAUCCCCCACCAUGAUACAAAUCAUUAGGUACACAUAAGCUUAAAAUAUUAAAUUAUGAAAUACUAAUAUACGUGAGUCUAACUAGAUGUAAUUUUAUUUACUAUAUAUAUCCCUUCACCUCUGCUUCCUGAAUUGGUGGGCUGUUAACUAGUUAGCACCUUGUCAGGCAGGACAAACCUCCUCAUACUAAGUAGAUGAGCUCCAUUUUACUAUUAACUCCUUUUGUGCUGAAGGGCAGAAGUACAUUUAGAUGGCUGCAUGCUGUUCCACCAAUAUUACCGCGACUCCUUCAGAUACUCAAGAAUGUAAAGGAAAACACGAACAUGAGGAAAAGUGCUUAAAAAAAAAGGAAAAGGCCUAAGUGAACCUUAUAGAGAUGAAAAAUACAGUAUAUGAAAGGAAACAUUGUGCUGAAUUGGAUUUGUGGCAGAUCAGACCCUUCAGAAGAACCAAUGGUCAACCGGAAGUCGCAGCAAUAAAAUAUAUCCAAGAUGAAGCAGUGAGAGGAAAAAAAAGACUUAAAAAAUAAUUCAAUUCUCUCUGAGACAAUAUGAAGUAGUACAAUACAUGCACGCUGGACUCUAAUCAGGAGAGGAGAAAGAGACACAGGAAAAAAUUUUCAGUAAUAAAAACCCAAAAUGUUCCAAGCUUGAUAAAACCCUAUAACCAAAGCAGCUCCAAGACUCCAAGCAGGGUGCACAUAAACACACACACACACACACACACACACACAGAAUCACAAGGCCCAUCAAAGUCCUAAUGCUGAAAACUAGGGAUCAAGAAAAAAAAAAAAUCUUAAACCAAGUGAGAGGAAAAAAGAGACAGAGAUAGAGGGCCAAGAUAACAAGGCCAGCAGAUUUUUCCAUCAAGAACGAAACAAGCCAAAAUGCUAAUGUAACAACUUUACAGAUUGAAACAAAAAGCUGUCAACCCAGAAUUCUAUACCCAGUGAAAAUAUAUUUAUUUCAAAAUGAGAGAUAAACACUUCUUCAAGCAAAAGCUAACAGCAUAUAUCGCCAUCAGAUCCAUACUACAAGAAAUGUUAUUUAUGUGGUUAAUAAAAGAGGCUUUUGCUUCAAAGUUUUCUUUAAAAACUAACUCUUGGAGUGCCUGGGUGGCUCAGUCAGUUGGGCGGCCGACUUCAGCUCAGGUCAUGAUCUCAAGGUCCGUGAGUUCCAGCCCCGCGUC